This is a long non-coding RNA of Oxyura jamaicensis (ruddy duck), 531 nucleotides long. RefSeq lists it as uncharacterized. The record is from RefSeq and is a predicted model, not a curated record. NCBI's taxonomy places the organism in Eukaryota, Metazoa, Chordata, Aves, Anseriformes, Anatidae. The transcript has 2 exons.
UGCAGAGAUCUGUGGUGAAGGACUCAGAGAACUUGCUGGCUGCUGACUUCCUCCUGAAGAGGCUUGGCUGUAUGUCUACAAACCAUGCAUAUGUACAUGUGUACGUAUAGCAUGAGCACAAGUGCCUGAAUGAGAGCCCUGACCCUCCAGGGGUUGUUCUGGUCUCACAGGGCUGGAAGGCUCUCAGCUGUGUGAGCUUGCAGAAGAGCCAGUUCUGCUCAGCUUUGGCUUUUGGAGAGAAGAAAUGAUUGCUGGAGAAACGGAGCUGGGCAGCAAGUCCCUGCUCAGGAUGGGGUGAUGCAUUGAGCAUGGGAUAGCAAACAAAACACGUUGCUGCAUGGGAUCACUGCCCUGGGUGAUGGAAGCACUUGGCUUUAAAAAAAAUAAAUAAAAUAAAAGCAGGGAGAUUUUUUCUUUCCCCAGUCAUUUAUGCUGAAAAACACCCUCUGAGUGGGGCGUGAUUUCCUUCGGCAGCUGAAAUUGCCUGCCUCUUGCUUUCAGCUACAACCAGCCAGGGUUUCCAAAAUAAAA